Molecule: ribosomal RNA, 502 nt
Filed under: uncultured bacterium
Lineage: Bacteria
Description: bacterial SSU rRNA
Rfam family: Bacterial small subunit ribosomal RNA
Source: RNAcentral
UCGACCGCCUGGGGAGUACGGCCGCAAGGUUAAAACUCAAAUGAAUUGACGGGGGCCCGCACAAGCGGUGGAGCAUGUGGUUUAAUUCGAUGCAACGCGAAGAACCUUACCUACUCUUGACAUCCAGCGAAUCCUUUAGAGAUAGAGGAGUGCCUUCGGGAACGCUGAGACAGGUGCUGCAUGGCUGUCGUCAGCUCGUGUUGUGAAAUGUUGGGUUAAGUCCCGCAACGAGCGCAACCCUUAUCCUUUGUUGCCAGCACGUGAUGGUGGGAACUCAAAGGAGACUGCCGGUGAUAAACCGGAGGAAGGUGGGGAUGACGUCAAGUCAUCAUGGCCCUUACGAGUAGGGCUACACACGUGCUACAAUGGCAGAUACAAGGAGAAGCGACCUCGCGAGAGCAAGCGGAACUCAUAAAGUCUGUCGUAGUCCGGAUUGGAGUCUGCAACUCGACUCCNUGAAGUCGGAAUCGCUAGUAAUCGUAGAUCAGAAUGCUACGGUGAA